GCCGGAGUGGCGGAACUGGUAGACGCAGCGGACUCAAAAUCCGCCGGGGUAACCCCCCGUGAAGGUUCGAUUCCUUUCUCCGGCACCA
This 88-nucleotide transfer RNA is filed under the name Steroidobacter sp. RNAcentral's name for it is "tRNA-Leu". It matches the Rfam family "tRNA". Rfam says of the family: Transfer RNA (tRNA) molecules are approximately 80 nucleotides in length. Their secondary structure includes four short double-helical elements and three loops (D, anti-codon, and T loops). Further hydrogen bonds mediate the characteristic L-shaped molecular structure. tRNAs have two regions of fundamental functional importance: the anti-codon, which is responsible for specific mRNA codon recognition, and the 3' end, to which the tRNAs corresponding amino acid is attached (by aminoacyl-tRNA synthetases). tRNAs cope with the degeneracy of the genetic code in two manners: having more than one tRNA (with a specific anti-codon) for a particular amino acid; and 'wobble' base-pairing, i.e. permitting non-standard base-pairing at the 3rd anti-codon position. The record is from RNAcentral. RNAcentral also lists the same sequence under 3 other names. Lineage: Bacteria; Pseudomonadati; Pseudomonadota; Gammaproteobacteria; Steroidobacterales; Steroidobacteraceae.